This 516-nucleotide long non-coding RNA is filed under the name Gadus morhua (Atlantic cod). RNAcentral's name for it is "lncRNA (ENSGMOG00000035666.1)". Lineage: Eukaryota; Metazoa; Chordata; Actinopteri; Gadiformes; Gadidae. The record is from RNAcentral.
UAUAUUUUGAAGUCUGUAUGAUGAGCCUCACAUAAUGCAGUCUAUUGGGUUGGGUCUGCCGGUACCUGGCAACGGUAACUUGAUGUACCCCUAACGUUUACGUUAUUUGGAUGAGAAAGGAGGUGUAUGAUGAUUGAUUUACAUCUAUACACUGGUUGCUCUCAGCGCUACGGCAAUUAAUCUGAGGCUCAGAAAAUAGCAAUAAAAACAUCCGUCCGUUGUAGGUCCAUAUUUUCCCAAGCAGAUGCACUGGAACACAGUCAGGUCCGGAUCUCGGAACUACAGAAGUCGGAAAUUCCCGAGUUCCGGGUACAAUUGAAUGCAGCAUCAAUCCAUUCAACGCUGAAUAUCGGAAAGGAAAAGAAAUCCAAAACGGGGAGAACCAGUGUUCUGAAGCUCCGUCCGCAGGGGGAUCUAAUGUGACCUGGUGUAAGAGGGACCUUGAUGGGCAACGGGUGUACAGCAGCAAGCGGAGGAAAAGGGGAUCAUCUGCUGAUCGACAUGCCACUAUUCCGA